CACGGGGGGAGCAAGCGUUGUUCGGAAUCACUGGGCGUAAAGGGCGUGUAGGCGGUCAAGUAAGUGGAAUGUGAAAGCCCCCGGCUUACCCGGGGAUCUGCAUCCCAAACUGCUUGGCUUGAGUACGGGAGAGGAUAGGGGAAUUCCUGGUGUAGCGGUGAAAUGCGUAGAUAUCAGGAGGAACACCAGCGGCGAAGGCGGCAUCCUGGACUGGUCCUGACACUCAGGAGCGAAAGCGUGGGGAGCGAUCCGG
Molecule: ribosomal RNA, 253 nt
Filed under: uncultured bacterium
Lineage: Bacteria
Description: partial 16S ribosomal RNA
Rfam family: Bacterial small subunit ribosomal RNA
Source: RNAcentral